AUGCUCUAUUCGGCUUUUUCAAGAAGGAGUCUCAAAUCUCUAAAGAGGGAAUUCUCAGUUUUUUGUCACAACGCUAAUAUCAAAGUCGAGAAUAAAAGGCUAAAAGCAACAGGGCUAGGAAGGGAUGCGUACAGUGUGUAUGCUACCAAGUACUUCGCUGAGAUACUCAAGCAUAUGUCUAUUGGCCGGAAGGAUGUGAUCUCAAAAUACGGGUUUGAGCAUCUCCUGAUGUUUGAGAAGACUGAACUCCCUUCUCACUUCACCAGAUGGAUUGUUGGUUGCGUAGACACAAUAUCUUCCCAAAUCAUUAUUGAUGAUCAGAAGAUCAUCUCUCUUUCUAAGGAGUCUGUCCAUCUUGUGUUGGGUCUGCCAAACAACGGCAUUAUAGCGAUACCCAAUAAGGAGAGAGGGAAGAGUUUCAUUAUGUCUAGGUUCAAUCUUUCAGAAAUUCCAAAUGUCACUUUCUUUGGAAAUUUGCUCACAUCAUCAAAAGACCUUAGUGGUGAAGACAUCUUCAUAUGUUUCAUGGUGAUUGUUAUGUCAUGCUUUUUAUUCCCUUCUGCAAAUGAUCAUAUACACACGGACUUCCUAUUCCUUCUGGAGGAUCCUACUAUCACAAGGGGAUUCAACAUGUGUCUUCUUGUCUACGAAUGGAUUUUGGCCGGCAUCAACCAAUAUGUGUUGUUUGGUAGGGAAACCGGCAGAAAACCAAAAGCGUUUGAUUCUGCAUAUAUUGCUUGGCUGUGUUGUAUUUGGACAAGCUUGACUUUGGUAUAA
RNAcentral lists this ribosomal RNA (777 nucleotides) under Triticum aestivum (bread wheat). RNAcentral describes it as "partial small subunit ribosomal RNA". Lineage: Eukaryota; Viridiplantae; Streptophyta; Magnoliopsida; Poales; Poaceae. The record is from RNAcentral.